RNAcentral lists this ribosomal RNA (95 nucleotides) under Paenibacillus sp. RU26A. RNAcentral's name for it is "16S rRNA. Bacterial SSU". It matches the Rfam family "Bacterial small subunit ribosomal RNA", at positions 1 to 89 of the family's 1533-position model. Lineage: Bacteria; Bacillati; Bacillota; Bacilli; Caryophanales; Paenibacillaceae. RNAcentral also lists the same sequence under 2 other names. The record is from RNAcentral.
CUUUAUUGGAGAGUUUGAUCCUGGCUCAGGACGAACGCUGGCGGCAUGCCUAAUACAUGCAAGUCGAGCGGACUUGAAGAGAAGCUUGCUUCUCU